RNAcentral lists this ribosomal RNA (394 nucleotides) under uncultured bacterium. Its description in RNAcentral is "bacterial SSU rRNA". It matches the Rfam family "Bacterial small subunit ribosomal RNA", at positions 49 to 437 of the family's 1533-position model. The record is from RNAcentral.
CUACACAUGGCAAGUCGAACGGUAACAGGGAAACAGCUUGCUGUUUCGCUGACGAGUGGCGGACGGGUGAGUAAUGUCUGGGAAACUGCCUGAUGGAGGGGGAUAACUACUGGAAACGGUAGCUAAUACCGCAUAACGUCGCAAGACCAAAGAGGGGGACCCUCGGGCCUCUUGCCAUCGGAUGUGCCCAGAUGGGAUUAGCUUGUUGGUGGGGUAACGGCUCACCAAGGCGACGAUCCCUAGCUGGUCUGAGAGGAUGACCAGCCACACUGGAACUGAGACACGGUCCAGACUCCUACGGGAGGCAGCAGUGGGGAAUAUUGCACAAUGGGCGCAAGCCUGAUGCAGCCAUGCCGCGUGUAUGAAGAAGGCCUUCGGGUUGUAAAGUACUUUC